GCCAUUGCUCAGGGGUAGAAUACCUGCUUUGCAUGCAGAAGGUCCAGGGUUCAAAUCCCAGGUAGGACUA
Molecule: non-coding RNA, 70 nt
Organism: Podarcis lilfordi (Lilford's wall lizard)
Lineage: Eukaryota; Metazoa; Chordata; Lepidosauria; Squamata; Lacertidae
Source: the annotation of a GenBank genome assembly